CCUGUACUUUCUAUAUGUGUGAUGGAGUGACGGAGGAGGAYAGUCAUACCUGUUAUUGGAUUCAGGGGUAARUAACGACUGGUGGUUGUAGGCAAAUCCGCAACCUAUAACUGGGAGUUAUGAUGCAUAGAUCGCAAGAUUGAAUUUGAUGAUUUCACACUUCCUAGAAAAGCUUCUAAACUUAAGCAYAUGGAAACCUGUACCGAGAACGGACACACGUCCCCUAGAUGAGUAUUCUAAGGCGAGCGAGAAAACUAGUGUUAAGGAACUCUGCAAAAUGACCCCGUAAGUUCGCAAGAAGGGGYACCUAUGGUAACACAUAGGUCACAGUAAAUUAUGAGGGGCAACUGUUUAUCAAAAACACAACUCUCUGCUAAACCGCAAGGUGAUGUAUAGGGGGYGAAGCCUGCCCAGUGCCCGAAGGUUAAGUGGAUGCGUUAG
This 441-nucleotide ribosomal RNA is filed under the name Mycoplasmopsis adleri. RNAcentral describes it as "bacterial LSU rRNA". It matches the Rfam family "Bacterial large subunit ribosomal RNA", at positions 1439 to 1893 of the family's 2925-position model. Lineage: Bacteria; Bacillati; Mycoplasmatota; Mycoplasmoidales; Metamycoplasmataceae. The record is from RNAcentral.